GACGAACGCUGGCGGCGUGCUUAACACAUGCAAGUCGAACGGAAAGGCCCUGCUUUUGUGGGGUGCUCGAGUGGCGAACGGGUGAGUAACACGCGAGUAACCUGCCCUUGACUUUGGGAUAACUUCAGGAAACUGGGGCUAAUACCGGAUAGGAGCUCCUGCUGCAUGGUGGGGGUUGGAAAGUUUCGGCGGUUGGGGAUGGACUCGCGGCUUAUCAGCUUGUUGGUGGGGUAGUGGCUUACCAAGGCUUUGACGGGUAGCCGGCCUGAGAGGGUGACCGGCCACAUUGGGACUGAGAUACGGCCCAGACUCCUACGGGAGGCAGCAGUGGGGAAUAUUGCACAAUGGGCGGAAGCCUGAUGCAGCAACGCCGCGUGCGGGAUGACGGCCUUCGGGUUGUAAACCGCUUUCGCCUGUGACGAAGCGUGAGUGACGGUAAUGGGUAAAGAGGCACCGGCUAACUACGUG
RNAcentral lists this ribosomal RNA (468 nucleotides) under uncultured bacterium. RNAcentral's name for it is "partial 16S ribosomal RNA". It matches the Rfam family "Bacterial small subunit ribosomal RNA", at positions 28 to 507 of the family's 1533-position model. The record is from RNAcentral.